GGUUGGGAUCGGGAAGGGGCAAGUUCUUGUUUCGAAGGAUGCUCGCUGCCUCCUGCUGCAGACUUGGCUGGAGCCGUUUUAUGAGGAUUUUGGGUGGAUGCGGCGGGCAUGUAAGGGGCUUGAUCGGCAUCUGGUUGAGGAUGGGCUGGGAAAUACGAUUCUGACAUUGCCGCUGGCGAUGCAGCAGGAGAUAUUACUGGCUUGGUUUGAUCGGUUUCUGAACUCAGG
RNAcentral lists this unclassified non-coding RNA (228 nucleotides) under Hevea brasiliensis (rubber tree). Lineage: Eukaryota; Viridiplantae; Streptophyta; Magnoliopsida; Malpighiales; Euphorbiaceae. The record is from RNAcentral.